RNAcentral lists this long non-coding RNA (3144 nucleotides) under Pomacea canaliculata. RNAcentral describes it as "uncharacterized LOC112574525, transcript variant X2". The record is from RNAcentral. Lineage: Eukaryota; Metazoa; Mollusca; Gastropoda; Architaenioglossa; Ampullariidae.
UUUCUGUUUGUGCUGGUGCCAGGAAAUAAUAAUAACAAUAACAGCAAUAACAACAACAACAACAACAACAAUAAUAAUCAUGACUAUUUAUUAUUACACACACGCCUCCUCCCGAUGGAGGAGUUCGUGACAUUUACAUUCAUACGCACAAGUAAACUCAUAAAUUUAAACGAAUUUUUACCGACCAAAUUUUUUUUUCAUUUUCUCAUUCUUUGGACAUGCAUGAAGGAUUAUGUUGGACACUUGAAGGCCUGAACGGUGCACAAAAGUGCACAGCAACGAUUUUUUUUCCACACACGUCACGCUUAUCAACAGCCGACAGCGCUCCGGAAGUGGUCCGCCCUGGGUUUGGGGUGAAGGUCACAUGCAUGAAUAAUUCUCGAAAGUCCUCCGAGGGUAGUGGACUAGAAGCAUGCACGUGUCUGUCUUGUCACAUACUCGUAUGUGUUCUGUCUUUCCCCUCAUGGAGGUUCCUUGCUCGUUCCCCAGAAUCCCCCCGUCACAGAUUCAUCAUCAGGACACGUCGAUGUUUAAUGUCAAUGAACAUGCUCAAAACACUUUCUCGAAAUACUUCCUGCAUUAUUACCCUCCACGUGUACACAUUUUAACACUUUGUGAACAGGGUAGAAUAAUAAACAUCCAAGGGCAUAUCUACAAACUUCAAAAACACUCUAGAGAAAUGUUUGCGACUCUCGACAUCAUCGAACUGCUCACAAAAAAUGUACCCACACUUCAAAAGCUCGACAACCACUCACUCAAACUGCUGCCAAAAGCUUUUGCCAGCAGGGCUUAGAAAUCUUAAUUAUAUCUCGCUUAAUAAUCCCGAUAUUGCCUGGGUGUAAAUAUUGUCCUCGCUCCACUACCCGCGUGUCUACCUGUCAACUCUCGUGACUCCAAGGACGAGCGCGAGUUAAAAAUGUCGAGGACUAGUAGCAACACGUCUAUUGUCAACACCUAGAAUAACUAACUAAAUACAUACAUAAAUAUACAAAUAAAAAAUAAAUAAAAUGACAACCAACGGAAAAUACGAUGUAAUACUCGUAAAAGUGACAUCCUCCCUCCACACCAGCCUUGACCUCUGACCCGUUGUGAAAUCUUUCCCCAGUCAGACCUGUUUGCGAGGUGUUGUUCACAACAUUCAUAGAUGAAACAAUAAUAAUAGGAGGCAGCAUGUGCGCAAUUUGUUCGCAUGUCGCCCAUGCGUGCGACACCACACUACCUACGUGUCACGACGCGUCGCACGUGCAGUUUGUUUCCGUCUUCGCCGCCAUUUUGCGUAGUUUCUCGACUCGUUUGUUACAUACAACGAGAAACAUGUCAACACCAUACUGUUGUUCCUCAACUAUUUUGGACGCAGUCCCUGAACACCUCAGCUGUUGGCAAGACUGAUGGCACGAGUAUCUGGGGUGGGUCGGGUGGGCUGGGUGGAUGGAUGGAUGCAGCUUCCUCAAAGCUCGCAGACUUCUCGGGGUUGAAGCAAAUCGAAGAUGUAGGUGAGGUGUUUUAUUGCCAUAUUUUUUUUAAUCGCUCCACUUCAUAAGGGGCAUUACACUUGGCGCAUAUCCAGGACAUCAGCUGAUAGUGAGGAUGUAAACACCGCGAGUCAAGGAGACAAGGGGGCGCUGCGCCGUGACGUCACGCCCCGUGUUUAUGUGCACGCACACGCGCAGCACGAGAACGAGUGCACUCCUCCUGCCCACGAUCGAUGGGGUUUCCCAGCGUUCGUCAGCAGCCAACUGCAAUUAAAAAUAAAAACAAAAGAGUUGGGAAUAGAAGGAAAGAAGGAACCUGUAAACAGGAAGGAGAGAAGAAGCAGAAGGCCGGCCAGCGAGCGGCGUGGAGAUAUUGAUCAGGCGAGCAGGACAAACAGCAAUGAAGUAUCUCUGGUAGUACCUAGCCGUGGUCACAGGACAGUGGAGACUACUGGGGGCGUGGCCAGUCCACCCUGAUUAGUUAAUCAGGCCACAAUGCAAUCAGCGAGCGAGGGUGACGGUGCAUCAAGACAUGUUUAUAAGGCCUCUCCAGGUGUCACACAGGGCGACAGGACUCCAGGCAUGUCAGGUGACCUAGACACGUGACCAAAUUCAUUCUAUGUGCUAUAAUUGGCGAGCUGCGAGAGGAUGUUGAGUGAUUUAGAGCUUCACCGUCCCAAACCGGAAGUGCACAUCCUGGCCGGUUCGAAUCCCUUGUGGUGCAGCGUACUUUCAUCACGUGAUCCAGCUGUUGAAUGAAUACCUGACUCCUUGGAGAGGUGGUGUGGGUGGAGAGAGGUACUGACUCAGGUGACCCUGGGUGUGUACCUGGAAGGAUGAAGGAGGGUCCCGUUACCGCUGACCGUGCAGGCAUUCGUGACGUGGGGGGUGAGUCACGUGCUCAGUCUCCCUCUUCUACCAUCACUCAAGACAUCGAUCCUUUUGAUUUCAUCGACCGCCAAACGUUCGAGUCCCUGUGAAGUAACGGUCCUGUGACGUCAGCAGAAUGCUAUGUCGGCUGCAUCGUGCUGCAAGGCGGGUGUCGGGCUGCCGCUGAUCAGAUGAUGUCGUGUGCUGCCUUCUCCAUUUCCUGCAGCAUUAUCGUCACGCUUGUUGACGAUCGUCAUCCAUCACCUGGAGAACAACAUGGUCCACGAGUCACGAACUGUGCGUUGUUGUCACAUUGACCUGUGAAAUGGGGAGAUAACUCAUUCUUCAUAGCAACACUACUUCCCCUUGUUAGGGAAUGUCAACGUUUUUGUUUACACUUCCUUUUUUUUUUCUUUGUUUUUGUUUUGCUUGCUUCUCCCAUAACACGUGACGUGUUUUCACCCAGAAUUCCUCGAAUUCUGCUGAAGUGAGUGCGAGAGAGAGUGUGAGCACGCGAUAUAACAGAAUAACAUUCCUGCAUCGCACGACAUAGGAGCCUGCAUGUCUGUCCUGCCAUCUGAAAGACGAGAAAGGAAAAAGGAAGUAAUAGAAAAAAGUGGAAACAUGAAGAAAAAGAAAACAGAAUAUCUUGCAACAGCACUAGUGGAAAGUGUAGAGACAAGUCACGUGACCACCAAUGGCCGCAUCGUCGUGUCGCCAUCAGAGCCGCCUCCACCAUCCACAAAAUGUUGGAACUGGAGUAGGCGGUGAGAGUGGUGGAGGUAAAUGCAGAUGUAGAGGU